Molecule: long non-coding RNA, 310 nt
Filed under: Ananas comosus (pineapple)
Lineage: Eukaryota; Viridiplantae; Streptophyta; Magnoliopsida; Poales; Bromeliaceae
Description: long non-coding RNA (ACOM_LNC036083)
Source: RNAcentral
UAUAGUAGUACUAUUUUGAAUUAACGGUAUAACGCUCCAAUAAUUGCAUAUCGGGUGGAAAAAUAAUUCUGAUUAGAAUAUAUGAGACUUACACGCUGGUGAUAAAAACUAAACUUAAGUAUUUUGGGCCGAUGGUUUGGUCUAAUGAGCUAUUAUUGCUAGCAGGUCGGAUCGUUGCAGGCCCAACAAAUUAUUAGUUCGAGUGGCUUGGAUCGUUACAGUUGGUAUCAGAAUUCGGUGCGCGUCUAAUUUAUAAAAUUUUUCUAAGUUUUUUGGAUAAUUGAGAUUAGAAAAUUAAUAGGAAAUAGAG